This is a long non-coding RNA of Pogoniulus pusillus (Red-fronted tinkerbird), 1349 nucleotides long. RefSeq lists it as uncharacterized. The transcript has 2 exons. The record is from RefSeq and is a predicted model, not a curated record. NCBI's taxonomy places the organism in Eukaryota, Metazoa, Chordata, Aves, Piciformes, Lybiidae.
CAAAGCAAAAGGAAGUCCCUGCCCUGAGGAUCUCAGCUUAAACAGAUGAGACACAUGGAAACGAUUCACUCAGGACUACUGCAGAAACAGGAGGUGUCACAGCAUGAACACAGCUUCAGAAAAGCAGCAAGGACCUCAAGAGAGUGCCUAAUCCGACCUUUUUCAUGGAGGCUAUAUCAAGAUGCUUGAUUGCCUGGCUUGCCCUUCACAGUGGUAUUAGCGUGUAGAUACUAGUUGCUGGGCUGCCUUACACACCUGUGGGUAUAUGCGUUAAGACUCUCAGUUGGUUACAAGCAAAGUGUAAAGGGCAGCAGGCCGAGCAAGGUGAUGUGGGAAGGUCUCUGGAGUUGGUGUUUUUCAUUCACAUCUACUAAUAAGUUGGGGCUAAACCCUCUAGUUUGAGGAAAAGGCCAACAGAGAAUUUUACAGCUAUAGACAAAUUUCUAAAAGGCUUUGGCUCAUUAAGCAUCAGCAACAAAUUGCACAGGAAUGCCUGAAUAUAUUCUAAAAACAAAUAAAGUGUGAGGUAAACACACAGAGGGCUUUUCUUCCGCUCAGAGGCUAAGUAAUUUUCUCAUCUUUUCUAAAGCUCUGCAGGCAGGAGCUUUAAUGGAGUUUAGGAAAGGUGUACAAAUAGAUGUAUGUAAACAUUACUUAGGCAACCAUUUCAUCUCAGGAAGGAUUCGCUGGCUUAGCAAGUUAAGGAGAGAAAUUGAUGUUUUCCUGGGAUCUAUGGGUGAUCUUAGCUUAGGGGUGAUCAUAGUGCCCCCAUGACUCUGCUGCCUGUAUUUUGUGAAGGAGAUGGUUAAGAGAAAAGUAAUAGGCUUAAGAUCGUUCUGGCUGGUAAACAUUCAGGCUUGAAGUGGAACUAGGAAUGAUGGCGCUUGGUCUGUUCAGAUUGUCUCUACCUCUUCUUCUUGUGACACUCUGUAUUAUAAACUUAAAUCACUAGUGUAUGGCAGGAAUCUUACCUUCAUUGAACUGAGGGAGGUGUUAAAAUCCUGCUCUGAUCAGUAUCAGGGAAAAUAUCUGUUUGAAGAAGAAAUAGAUUACCUGUAUCUGUAUAUGAACUGUGAUGAUGCUAUCAGUACUUUGAAGUGACUUGGAAGUCUCACAUGUAGUAUCCUUAUAUCAUCAUGCUUGUCUGGCAGCCUUGGAGAAUGCCUUUCUGAGAUGAAGUUCCAGAAUGGUUCAGCAUCCUGUAAAUUUAUAAACCAGUAAGUUUGUGUAAGAUAUUAAUGCUUGGACACUUACAGCUAUUCUUUUGACAAGUCUGGGGAGAAGAGCAAAUAAUUCUUAGCACUCCUAUUCAUAGUGCUAAAACAAUAUGAAUCAAUGAGUUUAGAUUA